CUACGUAGUUGGCUGAGAAGAUGCCAUGAUCACAAAGGUGGUUUUCCCAGGGUGAGGCUCACCCAUUACACUCUGGGCGUGCUGACCCGUGUUAUUUCCCUAAAUGUGGGAAACUGAACUGCAUAAUUUGUGCUAGUGAUGGGCUGCCUUUGUGCCCUCCCCUG
Molecule: small nuclear RNA, 164 nt
Organism: Rhinolophus ferrumequinum (greater horseshoe bat)
Lineage: Eukaryota; Metazoa; Chordata; Mammalia; Chiroptera; Rhinolophidae
Gene: U1
Rfam family: U1 spliceosomal RNA
About the family: U1 is a small nuclear RNA (snRNA) component of the spliceosome (involved in pre-mRNA splicing). Its 5' end forms complementary base pairs with the 5' splice junction, thus defining the 5' donor site of an intron.
Source: Ensembl